RNAcentral lists this ribosomal RNA (591 nucleotides) under Triticum aestivum (bread wheat). RNAcentral describes it as "partial small subunit ribosomal RNA". The record is from RNAcentral. Lineage: Eukaryota; Viridiplantae; Streptophyta; Magnoliopsida; Poales; Poaceae.
AUGGCAACUUGCUUAUCUGACUUGAUUAGAGAAUACUGCUUGGAUUUUGUUGCUUUCCGGGAAACAAUGAAAAAGGAUUUUUCCUCUAAAUUCUUGAGGAAAAUUGAUCCAGGAGAUUGUUUUGAGUGGAAUUGGAUCCCCUCAGUGGGCAAAUCUAGGGGGAUUUUGUGUGGUACUAAGAAAGAUACCUUUGAUAUUAGAACAUGUGAGGCAGGAAAAUAUAUCAUGAAAAUUGAGGUGUGGGAUAAGAGUAAAAAGUUGAACUAUUGUAUGCUAGUGGUCUAUGGGUAUGCUCACGAGGAGCAUAAAAUAGAGUUUUUGACUGAGCUCUCUAAUGUGUGUAAGAAUAUUGCUUGCCCUUACAUUGUGGGUGGUGACUUUAAUAUUCUGAGAUAUGCUAGUGAGAAAAAUAAGAAAACCAGGACAAGCCAUGCCUCUGAUCUCUUUAACUCCAUCAUUAAUACUUUCUGUCUUAGGGAAGUUGAUAUGAAUGGGGUCUUUAUACAUGGUCUAACAAUCAGCAAAAACUUACCCUUGAAAAGUUGGACCGAAUACUUAUGUCCAGUUCUUGGAAAAAGCAAUUUCCUCUAA